Molecule: ribosomal RNA, 462 nt
Filed under: uncultured bacterium
Lineage: Bacteria
Description: partial 16S ribosomal RNA
Rfam family: Bacterial small subunit ribosomal RNA
Source: RNAcentral
GACGAACGCUGGCGGCGUGCUUAACACAUGCAAGUCGAACGGAAAGGCCCUUCGGGGUACUCGGGUGGCGAACGGGUGAGUAACACGUGGGUGAUCUGCCCUGCACUUUGGGAUAAGCCUGGGAAACUGGGUCUAAUACCGAAUAGGACCGCGCGCUUCAUGGUGUGUGGUGGAAAGCUUUUGCGGUGUGGGAUGGGCCCGCGGCCUAUCAGCUUGUUGGUGGGGUAAUGGCCUACCAAGGCGACGACGGGUAGCCGGCCUGAGAGGGUGACCGGCCACACUGGGACUGAGAUACGGCCCAGACUCCUACGGGAGGCAGCAGUGGGGAAUAUUGCACAAUGGGCGCAAGCCUGAUGCAGCGACGCCGCGUGAGGGAUGACGGCCUUCGGGUUGUAAACCUCUUUCACCAGGGACGAAGCGCAAGUGACGGUACCUGGAGAAGAAGCACCGGCCAACUACGUG